CCUACGGGAGGCAGCAGUGGGGAAUAUUGGUCAAUGGUCGGGAGACUGAACCAGCCAAGCCGCGUGAGGGAUGAAGGUACAGAGUAUCGUAAACCUCUUUUGUCAGGGAACAAAGGCGGGGACGUGUCCCCGGUUGAGUGUACCUGAAGAAAAAGCAGCGGCUAACUCCGUGCCAGCAGCCGCGGUAAUACGGGGGAUUCGAGCGUUAUCCGGAUUUAUUGGGUUUAAGGGGUGCGCAGGCGGUCUGUUAAGUCAGCGGUCAAAGCCCGGGGCUCAACCCCGGCCCGCCGUUGAAACUGGCGGUCUCGAGUAGGAGAGAAGUAUGCGGAAUGCGCGGUGUAGCGGUGAAAUGCAUAGAUAUCGCGCAGAACUCCGAUUGCGAAGGCAGCAUGCCGGCUCCACACUGACGCUGAGGCACGAAAGCGUGGGUAUCGAACAGGAUUAGAUACCCCAGUAGUC
RNAcentral lists this ribosomal RNA (459 nucleotides) under uncultured bacterium. RNAcentral's name for it is "partial 16S ribosomal RNA". It matches the Rfam family "Bacterial small subunit ribosomal RNA", at positions 338 to 795 of the family's 1533-position model. The record is from RNAcentral.